This 1531-nucleotide ribosomal RNA is filed under the name Staphylococcus haemolyticus. RNAcentral's name for it is "bacterial SSU rRNA". It matches the Rfam family "Bacterial small subunit ribosomal RNA". RNAcentral also lists the same sequence under 2 other names. The record is from RNAcentral. Lineage: Bacteria; Bacillati; Bacillota; Bacilli; Caryophanales; Staphylococcaceae.
AGAGUUUGAUCCUGGCUCAGGAUGAACGCUGGCGGCGUGCCUAAUACAUGCAAGUCGAGCGAACAGACAAGGAGCUUGCUCCUUUGACGUUAGCGGCGGACGGGUGAGUAACACGUGGGUAACCUACCUAUAAGACUGGGAUAACUUCGGGAAACCGGAGCUAAUACCGGAUAAUAUUUCGAACCGCAUGGUUCGAUAGUGAAAGAUGGUUUUGCUAUCACUUAUAGAUGGACCCGCGCCGUAUUAGCUAGUUGGUAAGGUAACGGCUUACCAAGGCGACGAUACGUAGCCGACCUGAGAGGGUGAUCGGCCACACUGGAACUGAGACACGGUCCAGACUCCUACGGGAGGCAGCAGUAGGGAAUCUUCCGCAAUGGGCGAAAGCCUGACGGAGCAACGCCGCGUGAGUGAUGAAGGUCUUCGGAUCGUAAAACUCUGUUAUUAGGGAAGAACAUACGUGUAAGUAACUGUGCACGUCUUGACGGUACCUAAUCAGAAAGCCACGGCUAACUACGUGCCAGCAGCCGCGGUAAUACGUAGGUGGCAAGCGUUAUCCGGAAUUAUUGGGCGUAAAGCGCGCGUAGGCGGUUUUUUAAGUCUGAUGUGAAAGCCCACGGCUCAACCGUGGAGGGUCAUUGGAAACUGGAAAACUUGAGUGCAGAAGAGGAAAGUGGAAUUCCAUGUGUAGCGGUGAAAUGCGCAGAGAUAUGGAGGAACACCAGUGGCGAAGGCGACUUUCUGGUCUGUAACUGACGCUGAUGUGCGAAAGCGUGGGGAUCAAACAGGAUUAGAUACCCUGGUAGUCCACGCCGUAAACGAUGAGUGCUAAGUGUUAGGGGGUUUCCGCCCCUUAGUGCUGCAGCUAACGCAUUAAGCACUCCGCCUGGGGAGUACGACCGCAAGGUUGAAACUCAAAGGAAUUGACGGGGACCCGCACAAGCGGUGGAGCAUGUGGUUUAAUUCGAAGCAACGCGAAGAACCUUACCAAAUCUUGACAUCCUUUGACAACUCUAGAGAUAGAGCCUUCCCCUUCGGGGGACAAAGUGACAGGUGGUGCAUGGUUGUCGUCAGCUCGUGUCGUGAGAUGUUGGGUUAAGUCCCGCAACGAGCGCAACCCUUAAGCUUAGUUGCCAUCAUUAAGUUGGGCACUCUAAGUUGACUGCCGGUGACAAACCGGAGGAAGGUGGGGAUGACGUCAAAUCAUCAUGCCCCUUAUGAUUUGGGCUACACACGUGCUACAAUGGACAAUACAAAGGGCAGCGAAACCGCGAGGUCAAGCAAAUCCCAUAAAGUUGUUCUCAGUUCGGAUUGUAGUCUGCAACUCGACUACAUGAAGCUGGAAUCGCUAGUAAUCGUAGAUCAGCAUGCUACGGUGAAUACGUUCCCGGGUCUUGUACACACCGCCCGUCACACCACGAGAGUUUGUAACACCCGAAGCCGGUGGAGUAACCAUUUGGAGCUAGCCGUCGAAGGUGGGACAAAUGAUUGGGGUGAAGUCGUAACAAGGUAGCCGUAUCGGAAGGUGCGGCUG